UACUGAAAAUGAAGACAGGAAUCAGAACGUGCUGUGAGCUACUUUGCAUGUGAGCUACCUGUUUAUUUUGCUGUAGUGAGGAGCUUAUUUUGGAGCACGUAUUGGUUCAU
MicroRNA precursor from Gallus gallus (chicken), 110 nucleotides. The record is from Ensembl. NCBI's taxonomy places the organism in Eukaryota, Metazoa, Chordata, Aves, Galliformes, Phasianidae.